RNAcentral lists this ribosomal RNA (425 nucleotides) under uncultured bacterium. Its description in RNAcentral is "partial 16S ribosomal RNA". It matches the Rfam family "Bacterial small subunit ribosomal RNA", at positions 354 to 796 of the family's 1533-position model. The record is from RNAcentral.
GUUAGGAAUAUUGGACAAUGGGCGCAAGCCUGAUCCAGCCAUGCCGCGUGAGUGAUGAAGGCCUUCGGGUUGUAAAGCUCUUUAGUCCACGAAUAUAAUGACUGUAGUGGAAGAAUAAGCCCCGGCUAACUUCGUGCCAGCAGCCGCGGUAAUACGAAGGGGGCGAGCGUUAUUCGGAAUCACUGGGCGUAAAGCGUGCGUAGGCUGUUUUGUAAGUCAGAAGUGAAAGCCCAGGGCUUAACCCUGGAAUUGCUUUUGAAACUACAAGACUCGAAUUCGGGAGAGGAUAGCGGAAUUGUCAGUGUAGCAGUGAAAUGCGUAGAUAUUGACAGGAACACCAGUGGCGCAAGCGGCUAUCUGGACCGAUAUUGACGCUGAGGCACGAAAGCGUGGGGAGCAAACAGGAUUAGAAACCUGAGUAGUCC